Molecule: ribosomal RNA, 1019 nt
Filed under: Lipomyces spencermartinsiae
Lineage: Eukaryota; Fungi; Ascomycota; Lipomycetes; Lipomycetales; Lipomycetaceae
Description: SSU rRNA
Rfam family: Eukaryotic small subunit ribosomal RNA
Source: RNAcentral
GUGAAACUGCGAAUGGCUCAUUAAAUCAGUUAUCGUUUAUUUGAUAGUACCUUACUACUUGGAUAACCGUGGUAAUUCUAGAGCUAAUACAUGCUAAAAAUCCCGACUUUUUGGAAGGGAUGUAUUUAUUAGAUAAAAGACCAAUGCUUCUUCGGAAGUUCUUUGGUGAUUCAUGAUAACUUUUCGAAUCGCAUGGCCUCGAGCCGGCGAUGGUUCAUUCAAAUUUCUGCCCUAUCAACUUUCGAUGGUAGGAUAGUGGCCUACCAUGGUUUCAACGGGUAACGGGGAAUUAGGGUUCGAUUCCGGAGAGGGAGCCUGAGAAACGGCUACCACAUCCAAGGAAGGCAGCAGGCACGCAAAUUACCCAAUCCCGACACGGGGAGGUAGUGACAAUAAAUAACAAUACAGGGCUUUUUAUGGUCUUGUGAUUGGAAUGAGUACAAUUUAAAUACCUUAACGAGGAACAAUUGGAGGGCAAGUCUGGUGCCAGCAGCCGCGGUAAUUCCAGCUCCAAUAGCGUAUAUUAAAGUUGUUGCAGUUAAAAAGCUCGUAGUUGAACUUUGGGCUUGGUCGGCCGGUCCGCCUCAUUGGUGUGCACUGACCCGACCGAGCCUUUCCUUCUGGAUAACUAUAGUGCUUUUUAUUAAGUGCUAUAGGGAGCCAGGACUUUUACUUUGAAAAAAUUAGAGUGUUCAAAGCAGGCAUACGCUCGAAUAUAUUAGCAUGGAAUAAUAGAAUAGGACGUACGGUUCUAUUUUGUUGGUUCUCUAGGACCGUCGUAAUGAUUAAUAGGGACAGUCGGGGGCAUCAGUAUUCAAUUGUCAGAGGUGAAAUUCUUGGAUUUAUUGAAGACUAACUACUGCGAAAGCAUUUGCCAAGGAUGUUUUCAUUAAUCAAGAACGAAAGUUAGGGGAUCGAAGACGAUCAGAUACCGUCGUAGUCUUAACCAUAAACUAUGCCGACUAGGGAUCGGGCGGUGUUCUUUUUGUGACCCGCUCGGCACCUUACGAGAAAUCAAA